UGACUUAUAAAUAUCUGUUUAGUAAAAUUUAAUAUGUAUGAUAAUAGUAAAUAGUAUAAAUGUAUGACAAUAUUGGUAAUAAAUAUAUGAUAAUGUUUAUAGUAAAUGUAUGAUAAUUUUGAUAAUAAAUAUAUAAUAAUGUAAAUAGUAAAUAGUAAAUAUAUGUUAAUAUGUAUGAUAAUGUUGUAAAUAGUAAUAGUAAAUAUUUAUUUAAUAAUAUUUAAUAUGUAUGAUAAAGAUCACUAGUUUGAAAGCUAAGUAUGGAGAAUUAAAUUACUAUGAAGGCAAAAUAUUAGUGAGAAAUCAUAAAGAUCCACUUGAGUGGCCUGUCUGCCGCGAACGAACCGGCCCCGCCGUAGGUUGUUUCUAAGGCGAGUGGUCAUUCAUGGUAGAGGUUGAGUUUACUUAAGUUUUAUUUUGAAAUCAGGAUUAUAGGCUCAUGGCUUCCAACAGACUUAAGAAUCUGCUGUUAAUUAUCCCACACUUUCGUUGUUAAGGAACCCUCGAUUAAGAGACUAAUUAUAAAUGCUAAUAAUAAAUAAGACAAAACAGGCAAAUAAAAUUUUAUUAAUAUGAUUUGGUGGUCGGUCGGGAUCAAAUUGAGAUGCUCAGUUUAGCGACAUGACGGUCGAUUUUUGUAAGGACUGAGAUUUUGACUGUGCAACUAAACUCUCUGUUGACGAUGUUUUUGUGUGUAAUUUAAUUACAAAAGCACUCGUCAAAUUUCGGGAGAAAUCGAGUUAAAACGGAGAUUCUACGCGAUUUCCAAGUUUCACUUAAAGUGAAUAGUAACUCGAUUUUCCGGAGAAGCCACGGU
Molecule: long non-coding RNA, 817 nt
Filed under: Ananas comosus (pineapple)
Lineage: Eukaryota; Viridiplantae; Streptophyta; Magnoliopsida; Poales; Bromeliaceae
Description: long non-coding RNA (ACOM_LNC034891)
Source: RNAcentral